This 253-nucleotide ribosomal RNA is filed under the name uncultured bacterium. RNAcentral's name for it is "partial 16S ribosomal RNA". It matches the Rfam family "Bacterial small subunit ribosomal RNA", at positions 524 to 776 of the family's 1533-position model. The record is from RNAcentral.
UACGUAGGGGGCUAGCGUUGUCCGGAAUCAUUGGGCGUAAAGCGCGUGUAGGCGGUCCGGUAAGUCCGCUGUGAAAGUCGGGGGCUCAACCCUCGGAUGCCGGUGGAUACUGUCGGGCUUGAGUACGGAAGAGGCGAGUGGAAUUCCUGGUGUAGCGGUGAAAUGCGCAGAUAUCAGGAGGAACACCAAUGGCGAAGGCAGCUCGCUGGGCCGUAACUGACGCUGAGGAGCGAAAGCAUGGGGAGCGAACAGG